This 660-nucleotide long non-coding RNA is filed under the name Serinus canaria (Common canary). RNAcentral describes it as "lncRNA (ENSSCAG00000011201.1)". Lineage: Eukaryota; Metazoa; Chordata; Aves; Passeriformes; Fringillidae. The record is from RNAcentral.
GUUAUUAGCAGUGAGUGAAAGAACAGUUUUUAUUUCACUUUUAUAUUUGAGGGACUUUCAGCAAUAUUACAAGAAGGAAUGUACCCUAUUAAAGAGAAGUGAGGACAGCCUUUACUAUCACUUUACACUGGCAAUUCCCCCUUGUUCCUGCUCAGGGCAUGGCACCAGCACAUGAAGGGCACUGGUGAUACCUUGGAGAGCUGAAGAUGUUUCCAGGACCCAGUUCCAAAGGAAGGAUCCUGCUCUGCCAGGAUCUCCAGCAGGAGCAGCACCUGCCAAGCCUCUCCAGGUGGGAAAAGCAGGAGAAAUGCAAUGGAACCUGGGUGCCUCACCUGGGCCUGGACACACAGCCAGGUUAGAAACCUUGCAAUGAAAACAUAAAGGGAACUAAAAAAGAACAACCUCUUUCCAUCCCAUAAAUUAAUACCAACAGGUUUGGGGGUUUUUUGUUUGGUUUGGUUGGUUUUUUUUUGGUUUUUUUUUUUUUUUGCCUGUGCUCAUCUUGAGUGGGAUUUGUAAUAAUUCAAUGAUGUCUCAAUGUUUUUGUCAGAGUCACACAGGAGGGGGAUCCCACUAACAUCACUUUUUUAACCAUUUGGAAAAGGGAAAUCUGCUCUAAGUGGAUUCCUCUGAGUGGAAAAAGAUUGUCACUGGAGAAUG